RNAcentral lists this ribosomal RNA (407 nucleotides) under uncultured bacterium. RNAcentral describes it as "partial 16S ribosomal RNA". It matches the Rfam family "Bacterial small subunit ribosomal RNA", at positions 28 to 526 of the family's 1533-position model. The record is from RNAcentral.
GACGAACGCUGGCGGCGUGCCUAAUACAUGCAAGUAGGACGCAGUUGCGAACGGGCGAGUAACGCGUAGGUAACUACCUAUUAGAGGGGGAUAACUAUUGGAAACGAUAGCUAAUACCGCAUACUAGUAAAUGGACCUGCUGUGUGUUAGCUAGUAGGUAGGGUAAUGGCCUACCUAGGCAACGAUACAUAGCCGCCCUGGUAGGGUGAUCGGCCACACUGGGAGUGGGACACGGCCCAGACUCCUACGGGAGGCAGCAGUAGGGAAUCUGCGGCAAGGGGGGGAACCCGGACCGAGCAACGCCGCGUGAGGGAAGAAGGUUUUCGGAUCGUAAAGCUCUGUUGUUAAGGAAGCGGUACUUAACCAGAAAGGGACGGCUAACUACGUGCCAGCAGCCGCGGUAAUUC